Molecule: ribosomal RNA, 615 nt
Filed under: uncultured Sebacinales
Lineage: Eukaryota; Fungi; Basidiomycota; Agaricomycetes; Sebacinales
Description: eukaryotic LSU rRNA
Rfam family: Eukaryotic large subunit ribosomal RNA
Source: RNAcentral
GAUUCCCCUAGUAACGGCGAGUGAAGAGGGAAAAGCUCAAAUUUUGAAUCUGGUGUCUUUGACUCCCGAGUUGUAAUCUAGAGAAGUGUUUUCCGCGUCGGACCGUGCACAAGUUCCCUGGAACGGGGCGUCAUAGAGGGUGAGAAUCCCGUAUAUGGCAYGGACCGCCGAUGCUCUGUGAUACACUCUCAACGAGUCGAGUUGUUUGGGAAUGCAGCUCAAAAUGGGUGGUAAAUUCCAUCUAAAGCUAAAUAUUGGCGAGAGACCGAUAGCGAACAAGUACCGUGAGGGAAAGAUGAAAAGCACUUUGGAAAGAGAGUGAAACAGUACGUGAAAUUGUUGAAAGGGAAGCGUUUGAAGUCAGUCGUAUCUGGCGGGAUUCAGCCUGGCUUUUGCCUGGUGUACUUCCCGUCCGAUGGGUCAGCAUCAAUUUCGAUCGAGGGAAAAAGGCGUGGGGAAUGUGGCUGUCUUCGGGCAGUGUUAUAGCCCUGCGUUGUAUGCCUCGGUUGGGAUUGAGGAACGCAGCGCGCCUAUAGGCCAGGGGCUACCCGCCUCUUGACACGCGCUUAGGAUGCUGGCAUAAUGGCUUUAAGCGACCCGUCUUGAAACACGGAC